RNAcentral lists this ribosomal RNA (515 nucleotides) under Escherichia coli. RNAcentral's name for it is "partial 23S ribosomal RNA". It matches the Rfam family "Bacterial large subunit ribosomal RNA", at positions 614 to 1129 of the family's 2925-position model. Lineage: Bacteria; Pseudomonadati; Pseudomonadota; Gammaproteobacteria; Enterobacterales; Enterobacteriaceae. The record is from RNAcentral.
AAUGGGUCAGCGACUUAUAUUCUGUAGCAAGGUUAACCGAAUAGGGGAGCCGAAGGGAAACCGAGUCUUAACUGGGCGUUAAGUUGCAGGGUAUAGACCCGAAACCCGGUGAUCUAGCCAUGGGCAGGUUGAAGGUUGGGUAACACUAACUGGAGGACCGAACCGACUAAUGUUGAAAAAUUAGCGGAUGACUUGUGGCUGGGGGUGAAAGGCCAAUCAAACCGGGAGAUAGCUGGUUCUCCCCGAAAGCUAUUUAGGUAGCGCCUCGUGAAUUCAUCUCCGGGGGUAGAGCACUGUUUCGGCAAGGGGGUCAUCCCGACUUACCAACCCGAUGCAAACUGCGAAUACCGGAGAAUGUUAUCACGGGAGACACACGGCGGGUGCUAACGUCCGUCGUGAAGAGGGAAACAACCCAGACCGCCAGCUAAGGUCCCAAAGUCAUGGUUAAGUGGGAAACGAUGUGGGAAGGCCCAGACAGCCAGGAUGUUGGCUUAGAAGCAGCCAUCAUUUAAAGA